GAUGGACCAUUCAUUUAUCAAAUUGAAUUCUUUUCUUAAAUAAAAACUAUGGAAUUACCUAAGGGGAAAUUACAUGUUUACCGCAUGAAAGUUACUAUUUUUCAUUUUUACCACCACCAAAUGGACAUUUUCAAAAAUAUUUUUUUUCAUUAAGUGGCAAAAGACUCUUAUGCCCUUGUUCUUUAUAUAUAUAAUAAACAAAUAUUUAAAUAAAUAAAAAUUAAAAAAAAUAAAAAAUAAUUGUUUUAAUUUUUUUUCGAAUCAUACUAUUUCGAAAUUUAAACCCUAAACCCUAAAACUCAACUCUAAACCCUAAACCAUCAAUCAUAAACCCUAUUUUUUUUUGAAAUACGAACCCUAAAUCCUGAAACAUCAACUCUAAACCCUAAACCCCGAAACAUCAACUCUAAACCCUAAACCCUAAACCCUAAACCCUAAACCCUAAACCUUCAACUCUAAACCCUAAAACAUCAACUCUAAACCCUAAACCCUAAACUUCGACUCUAAACCCUAAACCAUCAACACUGAACCCUAAACUGUCAAAAC
This 546-nucleotide long non-coding RNA is filed under the name Brassica napus (rape). RNAcentral's name for it is "long non-coding RNA (BNAP_LNC027103)". The record is from RNAcentral. Lineage: Eukaryota; Viridiplantae; Streptophyta; Magnoliopsida; Brassicales; Brassicaceae.